GGUUUCGUAGUGUAGUGGUUAUCACGUGUGCUUCACACGCACAAGGUCCCCGGUUCGAGCCCGGGCGGAACCA
RNAcentral lists this transfer RNA (73 nucleotides) under Clytia hemisphaerica. Its description in RNAcentral is "tRNA-Val for anticodon CAC". It matches the Rfam family "tRNA". From Rfam's summary of the family: Transfer RNA (tRNA) molecules are approximately 80 nucleotides in length. Their secondary structure includes four short double-helical elements and three loops (D, anti-codon, and T loops). Lineage: Eukaryota; Metazoa; Cnidaria; Hydrozoa; Leptothecata; Clytiidae. The record is from Rfam by way of RNAcentral.